This 481-nucleotide ribosomal RNA is filed under the name uncultured bacterium. Its description in RNAcentral is "SSU rRNA". It matches the Rfam family "Bacterial small subunit ribosomal RNA", at positions 26 to 518 of the family's 1533-position model. The record is from RNAcentral.
AGGACGAACGCUGGCGGCGUGCUUAACACAUGCAAGUCGAACGGAAAGGCCCUGCUUUUGUGGGGUGCUCGAGUGGCGAACGGGUGAGUAACACGUGAGUAACCUGCCCUUGACUUUGGGAUAACUUCAGGAAACUGGGGCUAAUACCGGAUAGGAGCUCCUGCUGCAUGGUGGGGGUUGGAAAGUUUCGGCGGUUGGGGAUGGACUCGCGGCUUAUCAGCUUGUUGGUGGGGUAGUGGCUUACCAAGGCUUUGACGGGUAGCCGGCCUGAGAGGGUGACCGGCCACAUUGGGACUGAGAUACGGCCCAGACUCCUACGGGAGGCAGCAGUGGGGAAUAUUGCGCAAUGGGCGAAAGCCUGACGCAGCGACGCCGCGUGGGGGAUGAAUGCCUUCGGGUUGUAAACCCCUUUCAGCAGGGACGAAGCGAAAGUGACGGUACCUGCAGAAGAAGCGCCGGCUAACUACGCGCCAGCAGCCGC